AGCCACCCUCAAAUCUACAAAUCUUGAAGAUCUGGGAUUAUAAAGGUGAGGGCUUUCCCAAGUGGAUGAUGGAUAGCCUUGUAUCUUUCUUGCCACGUUUAGUUGACGUAUUUUUCGGUUAUUGCGAAAGAUGUGAACGUCUCCCCCCACUGGACCAACUACCUCACCUCAAGUCCUUACAUAUUAAGAAUUUGCCUAAAUUGGAAUAUAUCGGGUCAAACCAAUCAUCCACUUCAACAGCAUCAUUUCCUAGUCUAUCUAUAUUAAAUAUCUUUAGAUGUGAAAAAUUAAAAGCCAUGCCACUAACUCCUCAUCUCGAGGAGUUUAUGCUUGAGGCCAAUGGAGCGUUGUUAAUAAAUCGGAUGAUGCUUGGCCUUAAUAAGUUGAAGACACUGCAUAUCUCGGAUAUAAAGUUUUUAAGAUGUUUGCCUAAGGAGGGUUUCCAAAGUCUCCCUUCCCUUGAAUCUCUUAGCAUAGAUGGUUUUCCUCAAUUGACUUCCCUCUUGCAAGGUAUGCAACAUCUAUCGAGCCUAGUGGGUCUCUCUAUCUGGGGAUGUGAGGAGCUGGAUAUAUCCAAAGAUGAAAGCGGCAACAUCUUGGAUUUCCAUGGAGGCCUUCAGAGUCUCCGCUCCUUGUCAAUCUCUCGCCUUCCCAAACUGACAUCUCUCCCACAAUGGCUUCUACAGGCCCGCAAUCUUGAGCGUCUCCAAAUUUGGAGAUGCCACAAUUUGAAGGAUAUACCAGAGCAAAUCGAGGCCCUUCAAUCACUUCAAUAUCUCUUCAUCUAUAAAUGCUCCUCGUUGACAUCAUUCCCUGAAGCAAUGCGAAGGCUCACAUCCCUUACUCACCUAAUCAUCGAAGAUUGCGGAGAAUUGGAGGAGAGUUGCAAAAGACAAGCAGGCGAGGACUGGGACAAGAUCGCUCAUAUCUUGAGCAUACGAUUUGGAUAGCCGAUCGAGCCCUAAUUUUCUUCAUUGAAGGGUAUAUUUCUGCUCGAGGGGAGGACGGCAAAGGUGAUCUUUAGCAUUUGACCACGAUCGAUGCUCUCGAUCUCCUGUUCAGCCAUUCUGCAGGGGUUCUCAGGCUAGACAGAAAUGGUGUGGAUUUUGGCACUGAGGACACAAUGCCAAAUGAGGAUCACAAAGAACUCACUGACCACCAGUUAGAUCAUCUGAAUAGGUUGAUGAAACGUGAAAGGGCGUUUCAAUUGGUUUACGGAGUACUAUUGUUUGUCUUUGGGUUAUUUCCAAUUCAUAUACAUUAGCUGGUAAGCCGAUCCCAGCAACCAAGCACGUCAGGGUUGCUGAAAUUCAGUAACCCAAAGGUUAUCAAUGACAUUUCAUGGUGGGAGAUCCAAAAACAUGAGUUAUAUAACAUGAAUUAGAAAGUUUUGAAAUGGACAAGUUCAUAUUUUUGGGCUAAAUGUUCACAUUAUGUAUUGGAUUCAGCAAUAAAACACCCUAUUGCAGAUAAAUGUUCAAUGGCCAUUCAGUUGGCCUAUCGGAGGAUAUCGAGGUUCCAAGGGGCCUUAUUAUUGUGGUGUUGGGGCUGAUAAGUCAUCCGACUGAGAUAUAUCCGAUGCUCGCUACAAGGCUUGCUUAUAUGCUGGUAUCAACAUUAAUAGCACCAAUGGAGUGGUGAUCUGGGCUAGGUAAUACCUGACCUCCAGCUUGCUUGUUAUUUCAAAAAGGAAAAAAGAAAAA
Eucalyptus grandis is the source of this 1703-nucleotide RNA transcript. RefSeq lists it as uncharacterized. The transcript is spliced from 4 exons. Lineage: Eukaryota; Viridiplantae; Streptophyta; Magnoliopsida; Myrtales; Myrtaceae. The record is from RefSeq and is a predicted model, not a curated record.